This 200-nucleotide ribosomal RNA is filed under the name uncultured organism. RNAcentral's name for it is "partial small subunit ribosomal RNA". It matches the Rfam family "Bacterial small subunit ribosomal RNA", at positions 1183 to 1382 of the family's 1533-position model. The record is from RNAcentral.
CGUCAAGUCCUCAUGGCCCUUACGGGCUGGGCUACACACGUGCUACAAUGGCGGUGACAGAGGGGUGCGAAGGGGCGACCCGGAGCCGAUCCCGAAAAGCCGUCUCAGUUCGGAUUGCACUCUGCAACUCGACCCCGUGAAGUCGGAGUCGCUAGUAAUCGCAGAUCAGCAACGCUGCGGUGAAUACGUUCCCGGGCCUU